AAGAGAUCCGUCGUCUGAAACUCAAGAGUUGCUUUUUCUGAGAUCAGCAUCUAACCCUAGCUCGACAAAUCCGUCAUGUCGUCCAAGCAAGGAGGAAAGGCGAAACCUUUGAAGCAGCCAAAAGCUGAUAAGAAGGAAUACGAUGAGCACGAUAUGGCCAACCUUCAGAAGAAGAAAGACGAGGAAAAGGCACUUAAAGAAUUAAGAGCCAAGGCAUCGCAGAAGGGAUCUUUUGGAGGCUCCGGUCUUAAGAAGAGUGGCAAGAAAUGAUCCGUUAUUAUCCAUGAAGCCUGUUUUUGACAGUGCUUAUUUUAUCAAGUUAUAACAUAUAAACUCGUGUGUUGUGUAACUUGUCUGUAGGAGAGUGACUUUGCGUCUCUCCCAUAACAUAUGUUUGCUUUCGACACUUAUUUCAUUUUAUAAAGAAAAAAAAAGAGAAAAGAAAGAUGGUUUUCUAUUUAAAAA
Molecule: long non-coding RNA, 465 nt
Organism: Brassica oleracea var. oleracea
Lineage: Eukaryota; Viridiplantae; Streptophyta; Magnoliopsida; Brassicales; Brassicaceae
Exons: 4
Source: RefSeq, a predicted model, not a curated record